AGCUUUGCGCAGUGGCAGUAUCGUAGCCAAUGAGGUUUAUCCGAGGCGCGAUUAUUGCUAAUUGAAAACUUUUUGUUGAUCUAUUUAAAUUUUAUAAUUUUCUUUAGUCAGUUUUGUUUG
This 120-nucleotide small nuclear RNA is filed under the name Lynx canadensis (Canada lynx). RNAcentral describes it as "U4 spliceosomal RNA (ENSLCNG00005021005.1)". It matches the Rfam family "U4 spliceosomal RNA". From Rfam's summary of the family: U4 small nuclear RNA (U4 snRNA) is a component of the major U2-dependent spliceosome. The structure of U4 snRNA from yeast and human has been reported. U4 snRNA presents a k-turn RNA motif in the 5p-SL related to recognition of Snu13 protein. Lineage: Eukaryota; Metazoa; Chordata; Mammalia; Carnivora; Felidae. The record is from Rfam by way of RNAcentral. RNAcentral also lists the same sequence under 1 other name.